This 1788-nucleotide unclassified non-coding RNA is filed under the name Longidorus pisi. Its description in RNAcentral is "sequence contains 18S rRNA gene, ITS1, 5.8S rRNA gene, ITS2, 28S rRNA gene". The stretch from base 1065 to 1216 matches the Rfam family "5.8S ribosomal RNA". Lineage: Eukaryota; Metazoa; Nematoda; Enoplea; Dorylaimida; Longidoridae. The record is from RNAcentral.
AAUAAUAAAAGCGAAGCCGCGAAACUCGAUCGAGCGAGAUAGGGGAAAUUAUAAUAAAGGAGACUAUCUCGUAAAAUGCUCUUUCGAGAGAAUAAAGCGAUAGCAAACGUGUUCUGAAACGCGGUAGGCGCCUAAUACGCGCGAGUCCGUAUACACGAGCUAAUCGCAUAAAUAAACCGAAGGGUUGUACGAUCCGUUGAUAGAGUGAUGCUCUCGUAGCUGCUACGGCAGUACCUAAAGGCUCUUAGCGAGACUGGAGAAAGGCCGAGACUAUAGAGUAUCCGGACUAGCCUGAUUUUCGUGACGCGGGUGCGCUGUGUUCAGUUGGAGCCAGCCCCUGAGUAAAAUGUCGCGAUUAGAGGGUAUGUGGUUGGUGGAGCCGCCAUUUAGUCUGGAGAAAUAUGGUUGCGUCAGUUGUACGGAGCUAUUCUCUAUAUAAGGAUCGGACCAUUUCGGUUCUAUAUCAGACGUCACGGGACUAUGCGAAUGAGUAAAUUAUGCGGAGUGGGCGGAAAGUAUCCCUCUAUUGCAUUCGCGAAGGGUCCUUCGUUGGGUACCUAUCGAAUGGUAACGCUACAGUUCCGUCUGACUGUAUCGAGACGCGUUACAUUCGGAAUCCCUACUCGGAAUAAUAGUAAGGCGAGGUUUAAAGAGGCGUUGGUUCCAUUAACUUGGCACGCGAGUGUCAAGGGGAAUUAUAUAAGGAACAACCGUGGAAAUUAGAGCCUAAGACGAAAGGAUAUGUGGGGCGGUAUAUAUGAGAGGGAAAUGAGCUCGUACGACCGUUACCUACCGUUCCUGGAGUUGGAGGAUAUGUGGGGCGACUACGGAAGGAAAUGAAUUCGUACGACCGUUACCUACCCGUUCCUGGAGUUGGAGGAUAUGUGGGGCGACUACGGAAGGAAAUGAAUUCGUAGAUGUAACCUACCGUUCUUCUCUUGGCUCAAACGGUUCAGGACGACUAAAACGUCCGGACGUCCGCCCAAUACUAAACCAACACGUUGAAACUAAAUAAAGAGAGACUAUGAUCGUAUAGACUAUCGAAAAACGAAUCCUAGAGAUUCCGUUCUAAGCGGUGGAUCACUAGGCUCGCGGGUCGAUGAAGAACGGGGCCAGCCCCGAGAAUAAGUGCGAAUUGCAGACACAAAGAGCAUCGACUUUUCGAACGCACAUUGCGGUAUCGGGCCUGCUCGAUACCACGCCUAUCUGAGGGUCGAAUAAGCAAUUGAUCGAAAUCGUUAUAUACGGUAGUGUCCAUGGUAGGAAAAUUACCCUCUGGAUUCGUAAAUUAUGACCGUAUGAGCAAAUGACUUGAGACUGCUGCGUCAGUCGUUAAGUCUAAAGAUACUAUAGUAAAUAACCGAAUAAGCGUGGUGUGGAAAUUAUAAGACACCGCCGUUUCGGAUAGUAUCAGAAGCAUUCGAACGGCUAUAUAGUCGCUUAGUAAGUCGCACGCCUCGCGGAAAUAUAUAUUCGAGACGAUUCCCUUCGAAAGUGGUAGUAAAUUAUAAUGUACCACUUAGAGAGGGAAGGAAAUUAUAUAUCGUUCUCGAGUAUGAGCGCGUGUCGAUUACUGGAAAUAGAGCGAUAGGAAAUACGGGUAUAGUCGAAUGAAUGCAUUCUCACGGAAGGACUCCGUAAAUAUGCUGACGUAGCUGCGAUCGAACCGAAGGGAAAUAAACGGUUACGAGAGCGUGAAUAUAUAGUUGCGUUAGUAGAGUCCUUAUACGUGUAUGUUCAAGUUUUGACCUCAGAUUAGACGUGAAUACCCGCUGAACUUAAGCAUAU